CACUGAUCAGACCCAGAGCUCAGCUUCUUCUCAGUCUCAUUUGUCUACCUUUCCUGUAAUUCGCCGUGUGCUGCCGUGGCUCACAGGAGACUAGGACUCACUGCAGAGGUUCUGUACUGAGGACUGAACCAUGCACGCCAAAUAAGCACUGCACUGAGCUACAUCUUUGGCCUUUUUUCAUUUUGAGACAGGGUGUCUCUAAGUUGCCAAGGCUAGCCUUCAACUUGAGAUUCACCUGCCUCAACCUUGCCAGAGUUGGGGUUAUACGUGUGUGUCAUCACAGCUGGCCAAGCAUGUUUUUAAUGCACAUAUACCAGAUUUUCGAUAACCUAAAAUGAUCAAAGUAACAAUAUUGAGUCUACCAGUGUGACAAUGGAAGAAAAAAUUGGCCCAAGAUAUGAACUUCACCAAAGAAUAUAUUUGGAUGGGUAAAUUAAAAGGUGCUCAACAGCUGAUUAUUAGGGAAAUGAACUAUUUUUUUUUUGGUACCAGGGAUCGAACUGAGGACCCUGUGCUUGCAAGGCAGGCAUAGUGCCACUGAGUUAAAUCCCCAGCCUGAGAAAUGAACUUUAAAGCUACCAAAGGGUGCUGCUAUAUUUAAUAAAAUGACUCACAGGGCCGGGGAUUUAGCUCAGUGGUUUCGCCGCCUGCUGUGCAAGCGCAAGGACCCGAGAUCGAUCUCCAGUACCUAAAAACAAACAAAGACUCACAUGUAGAAGUCUGAUCAUGAUACAGGUUGGAAGGAAUGUAGGGGAACUGGAGCUCUCAGAUGCUAUUAGUGGACACGUUGGAAUCUAUAACCACAUGGGGAAAAUCUGGCAGUUUCUUCAAAAGCAAAGCAUGCGCCUACCAAAUGAUGCAGCCAUCCCAGCCCAAGAUCGUCACCAAGCGGGACGAAAGCACAUGUCCAUACAGACUUGUUUGUGAACAGCCAGGGCUGCUUCCCUGUCUCAGCUAAGCGCUGGAAUCCACUGGAACGCCCACCAUGUGAAUGCAUAAGGAAACAGUGGUUUACCCUGGAGAAGGAGCCCUUCCCACCAGGAGGCAGGAAUGACCCACUGAUACAACAACACGGACAAAUCUCUAAAUAAUCAAACUGGUUCAGAGUGGCAACAAAGAUGACAUGCUAGGGCUGGGGAUUUAGCUCAGUGGUUUCUUCGCC
This 1162-nucleotide long non-coding RNA is filed under the name Heterocephalus glaber (naked mole-rat). Its description in RNAcentral is "lncRNA (ENSHGLG00000035397.1)". Lineage: Eukaryota; Metazoa; Chordata; Mammalia; Rodentia; Bathyergidae. The record is from RNAcentral.